This 443-nucleotide ribosomal RNA is filed under the name uncultured bacterium. RNAcentral describes it as "bacterial SSU rRNA". It matches the Rfam family "Bacterial small subunit ribosomal RNA", at positions 958 to 1401 of the family's 1533-position model. The record is from RNAcentral.
AACGCGAAGAACCUUACCUGGGCUAGACAACGGCGGACAGCCUGAGAAAUCAGGUCUUCCCUUCGGGGACUGCCGGUUCAGGUGUUGCAUGGCUGUCGUCAGCUCGUGUCGUGAGAUGUUGGGUUAAGUCCCGCAACGAGCGCAACCCUCAUCCCUAGUUGCCACCGGGUAAUGCCGAGCACUCUAGUGAAACCGCCCCGGAUAACGGGGAGGAAGGUGGGGAUGACGUCAAGUCCUCAUGGCCUUUAUGUCCAGGGCUACACACGUGCUACAAUGGUCGGUACAAACCGUCGCAAAGCUGCAAAGUGGAGCUAAUCGGAAAAAGCCGGCCUCAGUUCGGAUUGGAGUCUGCAACUCGACUCCAUGAAGCUGGAAUCGCUAGUAAUCGCAGAUCAGAACGCUGCGGUGAAUACGUUCCCGGGCCUUGUACACACCGCUACAGU